RNAcentral lists this ribosomal RNA (579 nucleotides) under uncultured bacterium. Its description in RNAcentral is "bacterial SSU rRNA". It matches the Rfam family "Bacterial small subunit ribosomal RNA", at positions 9 to 602 of the family's 1533-position model. The record is from RNAcentral.
GAGUUUGAUCCUGGCUCAGGACGAACGCUGGCGGUAUGCUUAACACAUGCAAGUCGAACGAGAAGGAAAGAGCUUGCUCUUCUGAAAGUGGCGAACGGGUGAGUAACGCGUGGGUAACCUACCCUUUGGAAAGGAAUAGCCUCGGGAAACUGGGAGUAAUGCCUUAUAAGAUACGUUUGUCGCAUGGCAUUUGUAUUAAACGCUCCGGCGCCAUAGGAUGGACCCGCGUCCCAUUAGCUAGUUGGUGAGAUAACAGCUCACCAAGGCCACGAUGGGUAACCGGUCUGAGAGGGCGAACGGUCACACUGGAACUGAGACACGGUCCAGACUCCUACGGGAGGCAGCAGUGGGGAAUAUUGCGCAAUGGGGGCAACCCUGACGCAGCAAUACCGCGUGAGUGAAGAAGGUUUUCGGAUCGUAAAGCUCUGUUAUUGGGGAAGAAAAAAAGACGGUACCCAAGAAGAAAGUUCCGGCUAACUACGUGCCAGCAGCCGCGGUAAUACGUAGGGAACAAGCGUUGUCCGGAUUUACUGGGCGUAAAGGGCACGCAGGCGGUUUUUUAAGUCAGAUGUGAAAGGC